UACCAGCUCUCCGAGUGGUGUGGAUGUUUAUUGGGCCUAAAGCAUCCGUAGCUGGCUGGACAAGUCCCCUGUUAAAUCCACCGAUUUAAUCGUUGGUGUGCGGGGGAUACUGUUCGGCUAGGGGACGGGAGAGGCCGACGGUAUUUCCGGGGUAGGGGUGAAAUCCUAUAAUCCCGGGAAGACCACCAGUGGCGAAGGCUGUCGGCUAGAACGCGCCCGACGGUGAGGGAUGAAAGCUGGGGGAGCGAACCGGAUUAGAUACCCGGGUAGUCCCAGCUGUAAACGAUGCAGGCUAGGUGUUUGGGCGGCCACGUGCCGCUCUAGUGCCGCAAGGAAGCUGUUAAGCCUGCCGCCUGGGGAGUACGGCCGCAAGGCUGAAACUUAAAGGAAUUGGCGGGGGAGCACCACAAGGGGUGAAGCUUGCGGUUU
Molecule: ribosomal RNA, 429 nt
Filed under: uncultured archaeon
Lineage: Archaea
Description: bacterial SSU rRNA
Rfam family: Archaeal small subunit ribosomal RNA
Source: RNAcentral